This 643-nucleotide ribosomal RNA is filed under the name uncultured bacterium. RNAcentral's name for it is "partial 16S ribosomal RNA". The record is from RNAcentral.
UACCUUGUUACGACUUAGCCCCAGUCAUCGGUUUUGCCCUAGGGCGCUGCUCGCGCUCACGCACUUCAGGCACUCCCGACUCCCAUGGCUUGACGGGCGGUGUGUACAAGGCCCGGGAACGUAUUCACCGCGCCGUGGCUGAUGCGCGAUUACUAGCGAAUCCAGCUUCAUGGAGUCGGGUUGCAGACUCCAAUCCGAACUGAGACAGGCUUUCGGGUUCCGCUCCCUGUCGCCAGGUGGCUUCCCGCUGUACCUGCCAUUGUAACACGUGUGUCGCCCCGGACGUAAGGGCCGUGCUGAUUUGACGUCAUCCCCGCCUUCCUCGCAGCUUGCGCCGGCAGUCCCGCCAGAGUCCCCAGCUUUGCCUGUUGGCAACUGGCGGUAGGGGUUGCGCUCGUUAUGGCACUUAAGCCGACACCUCACGGCACGAGCUGACGACAACCAUGCAGCACCUCGUCGCAGGUCCGUAGACGGGCAUCCUUUCAGACACCCUUCCUGCAACGUUUGAGCCCGGGUAAGGUUCCUCGCGUAUCAUCGAAUUAAACCACAUGUUCCUCCGCUUGUGCGGGCCCCCGUCAAUUCCUUUGAGUUUCACCGUUGCCGGCGUACUCCCCAGGUGGAGCGCUUAACGCUUUCUCUGUGG